GACGAACGCUGGCGGCGUGCUUAACACAUGCAAGUCGAACGGGAUUUCGUAGACAGCAGCCUCUGCUAAAGAUUACUAAUGAGAGUGGCGAACGGGUGAGUAACGCGUGAGCAACCUGCCUAUGACAGUGGGAUAGCCUCGGGAAACCGGGAUUAAUACCGCAUAAAAUCGUAGAAACACACGUUUUAACGGUCAAAGAUUUAUCGGUCAUAGAUGGGCUCGCGUCUGAUUAGCUAGUUGGUGAGAUAACAGCCCACCAAGGCGACGAUCAGUAGCCGGUCUGAGAGGAUGAACGGCCACAUUGGAACUGAGACACGGUCCAAACUCCUACGGGAGGCAGCAGUGGGGAAUAUUGCACAAUGGGGGAAACCCUGAUGCAGCGACGCCGCGUGAACGAAGAAGGUAUUCGUAUCGUAAAGUUCUGUCCUAUGGGAAGAUAAUGACAGUACCAUAGAAGAAAGCUCCGGCUAAAUACGUG
Molecule: ribosomal RNA, 478 nt
Filed under: uncultured bacterium
Lineage: Bacteria
Description: partial 16S ribosomal RNA
Rfam family: Bacterial small subunit ribosomal RNA
Source: RNAcentral